Molecule: ribosomal RNA, 632 nt
Filed under: Chroococcales cyanobacterium P12A
Lineage: Bacteria; Bacillati; Cyanobacteriota; Cyanophyceae; Chroococcales
Description: bacterial SSU rRNA
Rfam family: Bacterial small subunit ribosomal RNA
Source: RNAcentral
CGCGUGAGAAUCUGGCUCUAGGUUCGGGACAACCACUGGAAACGGUGGCUAAUACCGGAUAUGCCGUGUAGGUGAAAGGCUUGCUGCCUAGAGAAGAGCUCGCGUCUGAUUAGCUAGUAGGUGUGGUAAGAGCGCACCUAGGCGACGAUCAGUAGCUGGUCUGAGAGGAUGAUCAGCCACACUGGGACUGAGACACGGCCCAGACUCCUACGGGAGGCAGCAGUGGGGAAUUUUCCGCAAUGGGCGAAAGCCUGACGGAGCAAUACCGCGUGAGGGAGGAAGGCUCUUGGGUUGUAAACCUCUUUUCUCAGGGAAGAAGAAUGACGGUACCUGAGGAAUAAGCAUCGGCUAACUCCGUGCCAGCAGCCGCGGUAAUACGGAGGAUGCAAGCGUUAUCCGGAAUGAUUGGGCGUAAAGCGUCCGUAGGUGGUUAUUCAAGUCUAUUGUCAAAGCGUCUGGCUCAACCAGAUAAAGGCAGUGGAAACUGAAAGACUAGAGUGCAUUCGGGGCAGGGGGAAUUCCUGGUGUAGCGGUGAAAUGCGUAGAGAUCAGGAAGAACAUCGGUGGCGAAAGCGCCCUGCUAGGCUGCAACUGACACUGAGGGACGAAAGCUAGGGGAGCGAAUGGGAUUA